GGCUUGUUGAUGUUGUGUUGGGAAGCAUAGAUGUUGCUUUGUUCCACAAUCUCUUUCAUUAAAGUCUUCUUCAGAAGGCUGCGAAAAUACUCCACAUCGCCUGAGCAUUUGCACAAACAAUAAUGAGACGGAUCAGAAGGAUGGCAGAAGCGCGUUCCCGACCCAGUGCGCGCGGCUGAGGGUGACCCAUCAUCAGGAGCUAUGCUGCCUUCAUCAAACACCGCAUCCCUGAGCCUGUGGCCCGCAUACCCCCGCUGAAGCUCGAGUAUGCUAUCGCCUUGCUCCCGCUGCUGGAAGCUCCACACAUGCGUGCAGAAUGUAUUUCAACAGACGGUCGAAAAAGAUCCACAGCGAGGGAGAACAGUUAGUGUUGACCCCUCUUAGCCAGGACUCCCCCCUCCGGCAGGACCAGCCCGUGGGCUCCAACAUGUGCCCCCACCUGGCAGACCGGUUUGAGAAAAGUGAGUGCCCUCCCCAAGCGGGCCGCUGCCUCCCGCUACUGCUUGGAGCCUCACAGGUGCAUGAAGCCACCCCUUCCUUCAGCCCACACUGCAUGGAUAGACUAAUAAAGCUAAAGUUCUCAGCACUCUUUCAUCACAUGCACACAGACAUGGCAUGCAUUAGGGCUGGGCGGUAUGACGCUAUAUAUUGUGGCGUUGAUUUCAAGUGUGUAUUCGUAGAGAGAGAUAUUGCGUUAUAUGUUAGUGUGUUAAAGAAAUAUGUUUGAAUGAGAAAAUAGAGCGAGAACUGCUUGAUGUUAAAAAGAGUUAUUGAAUGCUUGAAUGGUCAAAUACACACACAUUUAUGUCAAAAUAUCCAUUGAGAAGAGUAUUUAUGUAAACACAGUCAGUUAUGUCUGUUUAAGUGAACAUAAUCAGUUGUGAGAAAAUCAUAUGUGUAUCAAUACAUUGGAUCCGUGCAUGAGGUCUUAAAGGAAUAGUUCACCCCAAAAUGAACAUUUGCGAAAAUGUACUUACCCUCAGGCCAUUCAAGAUGUAGAUGUGUUUGUUUCUUCAUAAGAACAAAUUUGGAGAAACUUAGCAUUACAUCACUUCCUCACUAAUGGAUCAUCUGCAACGAAUGGGUCCAAACAGCUAAUAAAAACAUCAUAAUAAUC
This 1117-nucleotide long non-coding RNA is filed under the name Sinocyclocheilus grahami. RNAcentral describes it as "lncRNA (ENSSGRG00000046407.1)". The record is from RNAcentral. Lineage: Eukaryota; Metazoa; Chordata; Actinopteri; Cypriniformes; Cyprinidae.